GGACUACAAGGGUAUCUAAUCCUGUUUGCUCCCCACGCUAUCGCGCCUCAGUGUCAGAACUGGUCUAGCUGGCCGCCUUCGCCACGAGUGUUCUCCCCCAUCUCUACGCAUUUCACCGCUACACGGGGAAUUCCACCAGCCCCUCCCAGCCUCAAGUCCUGCAGUUUCUACCGACCUAACACGGUUGAGCCGUGUGCUUUCACGGUAGACAUACAAGACCACCUACGCGCCCUUUACGCCCAAUGAUUCCGAACAACGCUAGCCCCUUCCGUAUUACCGCGGCUGCUGGCAC
Molecule: ribosomal RNA, 292 nt
Filed under: uncultured bacterium
Lineage: Bacteria
Description: partial 16S ribosomal RNA
Source: RNAcentral